CACUGGGGGACUUUUUUGAGGCUACAGAAGUAACACAUGACAUCUUUCUCCCUCGAAUUAAAAUGUGACUUGGUUCACCGGUUAAAACGCAGAGGGAGAUGGAAAUGACCAGGAGUCGAAAGGAGAAGUAACAAUGCCUGGAUUUUAUUCAGAUGCUGUGUACCCAGCCAAAAGACUACAUUUCUCAAUCUCCAUUGUAGCUGGAUGUGGCUGUGUGAUCAAGUUAUGACCAAUGAGAUAUAAGUAGAAGUAGCUUGGCCAGACACAGUGGCUCACACCUGUAAUCCCAGCCCUUUGGGAGGCCAAAGCAGGAGGAUCACUUGCACUCAGGAGUUGGAAACUGCAGACCAGCCUGGAGAACACAGUGACACCUUGUCUCUACACAAAAUGAAAAAGUUAGCAGGGUAUGGUGGCAUGUGCCUGUGGUCCCAGCUACUUCCAGCUACUUGGGAGGCUAAAAUGGAAGGAUCGCUUGAGCCUGGGAGAUUGAGGCCUCAGUGAGCCAUGAUCAUGCCACUGUACUCCAGCCUGGGUGACAAGAGCAAGACCCUGUCUCUCAAAAAAAAAAAAACGCGGCUGGGUGGAACAUCUGGAAAACAUCUUUAAAGAACGCUGACUCAAUCAGGAGGAGCACCAUUUUGUUUCUUGCCCUCUGCCCUUCCUGCCUGAAACAGGCAUUGCCAUUCUCUUCAAAACAUAUUUGAAAAAUGUCCAGGCUUCUCAUCUCUGUGUAAAACUGUUCAGUUUGUUCCAGUGUGACGAGAAGAAAUUGGACUGAGCAUACUUUUUUGUGAGACAUCCAUUUUCUUCCUUUGAUGAAUUUGACAACUUGUGACAAUUCUCACAUUUUGGAACAAGUCUCCUAAUUAUAGAAGAAGCUAAUAAUGAUAAUAUAAGAAAUUAUAAAUUA
Homo sapiens (human) is the source of this 910-nucleotide long non-coding RNA. Ensembl annotates it as ACTR3 antisense RNA 1. Its record names the gene ACTR3-AS1. Lineage: Eukaryota; Metazoa; Chordata; Mammalia; Primates; Hominidae. The record is from Ensembl.